CUGGGCGUAAAGGGUCCGUAGGCGGUGUGGCAAGUCGGGAGUGAAAUCUCUGAGCUUAACUCAGAGGCUGCUUCCGAAACUGCCGUGCUAGAGUGUGAGAGAGGCGAGUGGAAUUGCGGGUGUAGCGGUGAAAUGCGUAGAUAUCCGCAGGAACAUCCGAGGCGAAAGCGGCUCGCUGGAUCACAACUGACGCUGAGGGACGAAAGCUAGGGGAGCAAACAGGAUUAGAUACCCUGGUAGUCCUAGCCCUAAACCAUCAGGACUUGGGGUUUGCCCUGUACGGGGCAAGUCCCGUAGCUAACGCGUUAAGUCCUGCGCCUGGGGAGUACGGUCGCAAGACUGAAACUCAAAGGAAUUGACGGGGGCCCGCACAAGCGGUGGAACAUGUGGUUCAAUUCGACGCAACGCGAAGAACCUUACCUGGGCUUGAACCGCACAGGACCAUUCGCCGAAAGGCGAACUUCCCGCAAGGGACCUGUGUAGAGGUGCUGCAUGGCUGUCGUCAGCUCGUGCCGUGAGGUGUUGGGUUAAGUCCCGCAACGAGCGCAACCCUUACUCUUAGUUGCCACCCGCAAGGGGGAACUCUAAGAGGACUGCUCCGGAUAACGGAGAGGAAGGUGGGGAUGAGGUCAAGUCAGCAUGGCCUUUAUGUCCAGGGCAACACACGUGUUACAAUGCGCGCCACAAAGCGUUGCAAACCCGCGAGGGGGAGCUAAUCGCAAAAAAGCGCGCUCAGUUCGGAUUGCAGUCUGCAACUCGACUGCAUGAAGCCGGAAUCGCUAGUAAUGGCGCAUCAGAACGGCGCCGUGAAUACGUUCCCGGGCCUUGUACACACCGCCCGUCACAUCACGAAAGUGGGCUGUACUAGAAAUCACCGUGCCAACCGCAAGGAG
RNAcentral lists this ribosomal RNA (893 nucleotides) under uncultured bacterium. RNAcentral describes it as "bacterial SSU rRNA". It matches the Rfam family "Bacterial small subunit ribosomal RNA", at positions 554 to 1448 of the family's 1533-position model. The record is from RNAcentral.